Molecule: long non-coding RNA, 2005 nt
Organism: Vidua chalybeata
Lineage: Eukaryota; Metazoa; Chordata; Aves; Passeriformes; Viduidae
Exons: 4
Source: RefSeq, a predicted model, not a curated record
CAGGCGGGGCUCGGCUUCCCACCCAGCUAAACAAACGGCUGAUAAGGCGGCGCGGGCGGCAGCGCGGAGCUCGCAGCGGGGCCGCGUCUCUCCCAAGGUCAGCUAUUUAGGGACAAUAACAGGAACACGCGGCGGCGGCGGCAGCGCUGCCCCGCCCAGCUCUGCCCUCCGGGCCCGCUCCGCCACCUGGCGGCAUCGGCUCGGGCCCCAACCCGAACCCGAACCGAACCCGAACCCGAACCCGAAGGGGGAGCCGCGGCGGGCCAGGAGGACGAGCUCCCACUUUGCAGUCGGGCCUGCCUAGCGCCUGCUGCAGCCUGAGGGUUGGGCCCGCGAAGGCCUCUCUGCCCUCAGGGUCCCCUCAGCCCGGCGUCUCCACGGUUUUCUGGCGGCCGCAUGUCUUCUUUCUUGUGAAGAAAUGACAUCUUGUUGAAGAUCAAUUUCACGAUGAAUUUAAGCUGACCUAAAACCAGCCUGAGAUGCAUGGUUCAGCUUUCACCACAUUUCUGCUACUUCUUUUCUAUGACCAAGUAGUAUUGCUGUUGCUGUUGUGUGGGACUACCAGCAAAAAUUGGACCAGAUGUUUUAUCUACUGGAGUAAAUGCUAAUACUCACCCAUAAGGGGAGCAGGUGCCAAGAACUUGUGAAACAGGUGCUACAAAACACAUAGCUAUAUUUGGAAGAGAUUUUUGGAUACCACCUACAUGGCAAAGCAUGAGAAAAGGCGAAGAAAAGAAGGGCUACGUCAUCCAGAUGAGAAAGGAAGAUGCAUGCUGCUCUCCAGCUUCUUGAGAAGUUCUGAACUAGUGUUACUGCAGCGUGGCACUGUCCCCUCACUGUUUCCUAAUAUGCUAUCACUGAGGCUUUCUCCAUGCAGUAACUGAUACUGUCCAUCAUGAGAGGCCUAUUAGAAAAAGAGACACGUAGAGACAAGCUGGUGGUUGGUGGCUGGAAAAGACAUGAAACAUCUGGGCUCAAUGUUGUGCUUUAAUGCAAAGUGGAAGCAUCUCCACCUAAAGUUACUGAGGAUCUGCCCAGAGUCAUCUGUGCUGUGCUGUAGCCAUUCUGUUCAAGGAGGGGGAUAAUACAGAUUCUAGUCCUCUCAGGUAGAGAAAAUAUCUCCUUAACAUUUCCCCCCUUCCUGGGCUGUCUGAUAUGAGGAAAAGCCCUGAAACUAAUACCACUAGGAAUCUAAUUUUCCAUCUCCCUGACUUUUAUCAGUGUGUAUCUAAAAACCCAAGCACUUUAGUGUCUUAAAUGGCAAACUAAAAAACUAAAAAUGGAAAAAUAAAAGCUACCAAAAUAUUUCAGCACUGGACAAUCAAAAAUCAGAUUUCCCCAAUAUGGAUGAACUGGAUUCCAUUCAAUUUUACAGAUUUUCAUGUUGACAAAUAAAAAUUUCUCAUGUUGAGAAAUAAAAAUAUUCAAAUGGCUUUAUUGUCUGUGUAAUUGGUUUGACAGCUGAAUAAAAAUUGCCACAAACCAAAACUCAAAAAUAAACAGAAAAAAAACACCAAAAAAACACUUCAGAGUCUUUGCCCCCCAAGCAAGGUUCUUUGUGUAAUGCAGCAGAAAUGAGUGUCACCCUUCAAAGACAAACUCUUUCAGAUUGUGUUGAAUAAUUAAUUUUCUGUUUUCUGACUGAAUUUCACAACGGUUGGCUUGUCAAGAAUCCAUGUGAUCAUGUAGAGCAACUUGGAUACAUGUAAAGAUGUUCAACUAUCUCAUCUGCCUUGCUGGGAUAUAAAAAUUGUCACAUUAUCCCUUAGAUUUCCAGCUGAUUUUUGAUGAUGGAGGUGAAUGGUCACUGAAACACAGUAUUGUCAUUGUUGCCAUACUUCCUGUACUGGAAAAGAUGUUAUUACUAAAUUUGCUGUUGUUUGCUUUUGUAUAAAAAGAAGAGACUUGAGCUAAAAAACGUCAUCUGUUGAGCACAUAUGCUUCUAUUUCCUAGAAUCUGGAUAAUUUAAUUAUAUUAUCUGUUACAGAAUGUUCUUCAUACAAA